Molecule: ribosomal RNA, 460 nt
Filed under: uncultured bacterium
Lineage: Bacteria
Description: partial 16S ribosomal RNA
Rfam family: Bacterial small subunit ribosomal RNA
Source: RNAcentral
CCUACGGGAGGCAGCAGUGAGGAAUAUUGGUCAAUGGACGAGAGUCUGAACCAGCCAAGUAGCGUGAAGGAUGACUGCCCUAUGGGUUGUAAACUUCUUUUAUAUGGGAAUAAAAUGUUCCACGUGUGGGAUUUUGUAUGUACCAUAUGAAUAAGGCUCGGCUAACUCCGUGCCAGCAGCCGCGGUAAUACGGAGGAUCCGAGCGUUAUCCGGAUUUAUUGGGUUUAAGGGGUGCGUAGGUGGAUUGUUAAGUCAGUUGUGAAAGUUUGCGGCUCAACCGUAAAAUUGCAGUUGAAACUGGCAGGCUUGAGUACAGUAGAGGUGGGCGGAAUGCGUGGUGUAGCGGUGAAAUGCUUAGAUAUCACGAAGAACACCGAUUGCGAAGGCAGCUCACUAGACUGCAACUGACACUGAGGCACGAAAGUGUGGGUAUCAAACAGGAUUAGAUACCCCGGUAGUC